UACAGAGGUGACAACCGUUGUCCGGAAUUAUUGGGCGUAAAGAGCUCGUAGGUGGCUUGUCACGUCGGGUGUGAAAGCUUGGGGCUUAACUCCAGGUCUGCAUUCGAUACGGGCUGGCUAGAGGUAGGUAGGGGAGAACGGAAUUCCUGGUGUAGCGGUGAAAUGCGCAGAUAUCAGGAGGAACACCGGUGGCGAAGGCGGUUCUCUGGGCCUUACCUGACGCUGAGGAGCGAAAGCGUGGGGAGCGAACAGG
Molecule: ribosomal RNA, 253 nt
Filed under: uncultured bacterium
Lineage: Bacteria
Description: partial 16S ribosomal RNA
Rfam family: Bacterial small subunit ribosomal RNA
Source: RNAcentral